GAGCGGCGGACGGGUGAGUAAUGCUUGGGAAACUGCCUGGAAGUGGGGGACAACAGUUGGAAACGACUGCUAAUACCGCAUAAUGUCUUCGGACCAAAGGAGGGGCUCUUCGGACCUUUCGCUUUCAGAUGUGCCCAAGUGGGAUUAGCUAGAUGGUGGGGUAAUGGCCUACCAUGGCGACGAUCCCUAGCUGGUUUGAGAGGAUGAUCAGCCACACUGGGACUGAGACACGGCCCAGACUCCUACGGGAGGCAGCAGUGGGGAAUAUUGCACAAUGGGCGCAAGCCUGAUGCAGCCAUGCCGCGUGUGUGAAGAAGGCCUUCGGGUUGUAAAGCACUUUCAGUUGUGAGGAAGGUUGUGUGGUUAAUACCCAUAUAAUUUGACGUUAGCAACAGAAGAAGCACCGGCUAACUCCGUGCCAGCAGCCGCGGUAAUACGGAGGGUGCGAGCGUUAAUCGGAAUUACUGGGCGUAAAGCGUACGCAGGCGGCUUUUUAAGCCAGAUGUGAAAUCCCCGGGCUUAACCUGGGAAUGGCAUUUGGAACUGGGAAGCUAGAGUUUUGUAGAGGGUGGUAGAAUUUCAGGUGUAGCGGUGAAAUGCGUAGAGAU
This 608-nucleotide ribosomal RNA is filed under the name Agarivorans gilvus. RNAcentral's name for it is "bacterial SSU rRNA". It matches the Rfam family "Bacterial small subunit ribosomal RNA", at positions 93 to 697 of the family's 1533-position model. Lineage: Bacteria; Pseudomonadati; Pseudomonadota; Gammaproteobacteria; Alteromonadales; Alteromonadaceae. The record is from RNAcentral.